RNAcentral lists this ribosomal RNA (394 nucleotides) under uncultured bacterium. RNAcentral's name for it is "bacterial SSU rRNA". It matches the Rfam family "Bacterial small subunit ribosomal RNA", at positions 957 to 1351 of the family's 1533-position model. The record is from RNAcentral.
UAACGCGAAGAACCUUACCAAGGUUUGACAUCACCCGUGGACCUGCAGAGAUGUGGGGCAUUUAGUUGGCGGGUGACAGGUGGUGCAUGGCUGUCGUCAGCUCGUGUCGUGAGAUGUUGGGUUAAGUCCCGCAACGAGCGCAACCCUUGUUCCAUGUUGCCAGCACGUAGUGGUGGGGACUCAUGGGAGACUGCCGGGGUCAACUCGGAGGAAGGUGGGGACGACGUCAAGUCAUCAUGCCCCUUAUGUCUUGGGCUGCAAACAUGCUACAAUGGCCGGUACAGUGGGCGUGCGAAGCCGUGAGGUGGAGCGAAUCCCAUAAAGCCGGUCUCAGUUCGGAUUGGGGUCUGCAACUCGACCCCAUGAAGGNGGAGUCGCUAGUAAUCGCGGAUCA